GCUGGCGGCGUGCCUAACACAUGCAAGUCGAACGGUAACAGGGACUUCGGUCCGCUGACGAGUGGCGCACGGGUGAGUAACGCGUGGAGUUACCUACCCAUCAGUGAGGAACAACCUGGAGAAAUCCAGGCUAAUACCGCAUACGACCUUCGGGUGAAAGAGGGGGAUCUUCGGACCUCUCGCUGAUGGAUGGUUCCGCGUCCGAUUAGUUAGUUGGUAAGGUAAUGGCUUACCAAGACGAUGAUCGGUAGCUGGUUUGAGAGGAUGAUCAGCCACACUGGAACUGAGACACGGUCCAGACUCCUACGGGAGGCAGCAGUGGGGAAUUUUGCACAAUGGGCGCAAGCCUGAUGCAGCGACSCCGCGUGCGGGAAGAAGGCCUUCGGGUUGUAAACCGCUUUCAACAGGGAAGAAGGAAUGAGGGUCAAUACCCCUCUGCCUUGACGGUACCUGUAGAAGAAGCCCCGGCUAAUUUCGUGCCAGCAGCCGCGGUAAUACGAAAGGGGCAAGCGUUGUUCGGAUUUACUGGGCGUAAAGAGAUCGUAGGUGGCUUGUUAAGUCGGAUGUGAAAUCCCGGGGCUCAACCCCGGAACUGCAUUCGAUACUGGCAGGCUUGAGUUCGGGAGGGGGAAGCGGAAUUCCGUGUGUAGCAGUGAAAUGCGUAGAUAUACGGAGGAACACCUGAGGCGAAGGCGGCUUCCUGGACCGAUACUGACACUGAGGAUCGAAAGCGUGGGUAGCAAACAGGAUUAGAUACCCUGGUAGUCCACGCCCUAAACGAUGUCUACUAGCCGUUGCGGGUAUCGACCCCUGCAGUGGCGCAGCUAACGCAAUAAGUAGACCGCCUGGGGAGUAC
Molecule: ribosomal RNA, 856 nt
Filed under: uncultured Zetaproteobacteria bacterium
Lineage: Bacteria; Pseudomonadati; Pseudomonadota; Candidatius Mariprofundia
Description: bacterial SSU rRNA
Rfam family: Bacterial small subunit ribosomal RNA
Source: RNAcentral